This 175-nucleotide ribosomal RNA is filed under the name uncultured bacterium. RNAcentral describes it as "partial 16S ribosomal RNA". It matches the Rfam family "Bacterial small subunit ribosomal RNA", at positions 1326 to 1500 of the family's 1533-position model. The record is from RNAcentral.
CCGGAAUCGCCAGUAAUCGCGGAUCAGAAUGCCGCGGUGAAUACGUUCCCGGGUCUUGUACACACCGCCCGUCACACCAUGGGAGUCGGAGAUGCCCGAAGUCUGUGACCCAACCGUAAGGAGGGAGCAGCCGAAGGCAGGUCGGAUGACUGGGGUGAAGUCGUAACAAGGUAAC